CUGGCGGCCGCGCCUUGCUGCCUCCCUCUUGCAGCUCUCUGACGAUGCAGGGACCGCGGCUGGCGGAGAUUGAGCAACGGGGAAAGGAUUCUUUUCCACAGUCAGUUAGAGGGCCAUUGCUAUACCGGACAUUGUGGCUGACAAAAGAGCUCUUAAUAGACUGGAAGUGUCAAAUCAUCUGGAUAAGUGCCAGCAUUCUUCAAGUCACUUUCUUGGUAUGAAAUGAACAUUUCUGGCCAGGUGCAGUGGCUCAUGCCUGUAAUCCCAGCACUUCACGAGGCCG
Molecule: long non-coding RNA, 283 nt
Organism: Nomascus leucogenys (northern white-cheeked gibbon)
Lineage: Eukaryota; Metazoa; Chordata; Mammalia; Primates; Hylobatidae
Exons: 3
Source: RefSeq, a predicted model, not a curated record